Long non-coding RNA from Dama dama (fallow deer), 1498 nucleotides. RefSeq lists it as uncharacterized. The record is from RefSeq and is a predicted model, not a curated record. The transcript has 4 exons. NCBI's taxonomy places the organism in Eukaryota, Metazoa, Chordata, Mammalia, Artiodactyla, Cervidae.
UGUGUCUGGGAUCCCACACAUGCACAGGGUGAGAAGACUCACGUGUCCGGCGUGUGCCCAGGUCUGGGAGGGAGCUGGCCAGCCAGAGCAGAGCCAGCCCUGCCCUUCCUCCAUGGGAGCUGCGCCCACGGCACCCCAGGACUUCUGCACGGCAGGAAAGCGCCUCUCACCGGAUCUCUCGGUGAGCUGUGUUUUAUUCUGCGGAAAUGUUUAGGAUUUCAAGUCUGGAGACGGCAUCCCAAGAAACCCUGAGAGAGCUCCUGCGAGCAGUACACAAGGCUUCAGACGUUCACUGAUGCAAAGUCGCUGCACGUCUUCUCAAGCGUUUCCGACACGCAGGAUCCUGGGCAGAGGGCUCCACGACCCGCCUGCGUGCUCAGCACAGACGCCAGUGAGGUGACACCACCUCAGACACUGCUUCACGCGUGGGCAUCACAUGUACACUGAUGCACACGUGUUCCAUCCUGUCCGACUCUGUGCGACCCUGUGGACUGCAGCCCGCCAGGCUCCUCUGUCCACGGGGUUCUCCAGGCAAGAGUCCUGGAGUGGACGCCAUGCCCUCCUCCAGGGGAGCUUCCCAACCCGGAGAUCGAACCCUUAUCUCCGGCAUCGGCGGGCGGAUUCUUCACCACUGAGCCACCUGGGAAGCCUCCGCCUGCUGAUAAGUUCCCUGCUAUGAAGACAAUGCCUGGAGCCGCUUAACCGAUAGAGGAGUUCCCCGGCCAGCAGCCGUAUCUGGUCUCAUCACAUCUACUCCUCAGUCUACAACGACCCGGCUGAGGACCCGGCCUCCUGCCUCCUGAGGAACCGGCCGCAGUCCCAGCAGCCACAUCUGGCAGGGCCCAGAGGUCAAGUCUAAAAGUCUGAGCUCUUAGUGAACAGCCUUUAUACAAACAUAAAGUAUCUUGAGUGCUUUAUCAAGAACUCCGCCCUUUUAAAAGCUGGGGUGGCCCUCUCUGUGAUUCUCUGCUCUGUGCCCUCUGACCCAUCCCGCGGUCUGCCAGGGCACGUCUGGCUCUUACAACUGGGGAUCUCACUUCCUUACACGUUCUGUCAUGUUUUCACGAUGGCUCAUCACUUGCUGCAACGUUUUCCGUCAGAUUCCCUCGAAGCCUUGCUGCGUAGGUUCUCCCGAACAGGAUGUGUGUUCACCUCUCGCAGAAAUCAGAGGGGAGAGGGCACUGCCUGUCAGCAACCGUUUUAAAUGGAAGUCCUCAGACGUCCCUGGGGGUCCAGUGGUUGAGGAUCCACCGUGCAAUGCCGGGGACACCGACCUGAUCCCUGGUGCCACGGGGGAGCUCAGCCCGUGUGCCCCAACUACUGAGCCCGUGUGUAGAGCCGGGGCCGUGGAGAGAAGCAUCGCAAUGAGAAGGCCAUGGGCCGCGACCAGAGAGGAGCCUCCAAUCACCACGACUAGAGAGUUGCCUGCACUCACAACUAGAAAGGGCUCCCUACUCAUCACAACUAGAGCAAGGCCACGCAUGGCAGUGAAGACCCA